CUGGAGUCUGAGUUGACACUUAAUGACGCUAUAUGAAUGGGCUACCAGUAUGAACAGGUGUAAAAGCAAAGUGCAGAUAUGAGACAUGAAAGCAUGGUAGAAGAAGCGCAGCAGUCCAGGAGAGCUGCAUGUGACAAACAUAGUGUGAGAAGCAGACAGACUCAGAAGAGGGUGGAUGCAACAGCCUCUUUGCACAAGUUGUAACCGCACUCAUGGAACAAAGGUGUUAUGUGCUGCUAAAGACAAGAGGUGCAGGAAGUGCAACUAAGUCGGCCAUUUUGAGGUGGUUUGCAAAUUAGAGUCUAUUAAGGAAAUGCACCUGAACAGUGACCAGGCGAUGCAAAAGGGGUCCUUUAUAGGGUCAGUGGAAUAGUCCAGAUUUGAGGAAGAUUGUCGACUUACACUUACAGUGAUGUAUGCAAGGAUUGAUUUUGAGAUUGAUACAGAAGCAGACAUUACCAUCAUUGGUUGUGCAACAUUCACAGAAUUGCCAUGACGACCACAGUUUGAG
Molecule: non-coding RNA, 511 nt
Organism: Pelobates cultripes (western spadefoot toad)
Lineage: Eukaryota; Metazoa; Chordata; Amphibia; Anura; Pelobatidae
Source: the annotation of a GenBank genome assembly